AUUGAACGCUGGCGGCAUGCUUUACACAUGCAAGUCGAACGGUAACAGGCCUUCGGGUGCUGACGAGUGGCGAACGGGUGGGUAAUUCAUCGGAACGUGCCCAGAGGUGGGGGAUAACGCAGCGAAAGCUGUGCUAAUACCGCAUGGGAUCUGAGGAUGAAAGCGGGGGACCAGGCAGCAAUGUUUGGCCUCGCGCCUGGGGAGCGGCCGAUGUCAGAUUAGCUAGUUGGGGGGGUAAAGGCCUACCAAGGCGACGACCGGUAGCCGGCCUGAGAGGGUGGGCGGCCACAUUGGGACUGAGAGACGGCCCAGACUCCGACGGGAGGCAGCAGUGGGGAAUAUUGCACAAUGGGCGGAAGCCUGAUGCAGCAACGCCGCGUGCGGGAUGACGGCCUUCGGGUGGUAAACCGCUUUCGCCUGUGACGAAGCGUGAGUGACGGUAAUGGGUAAAGAAGCACCGGCUAACUACGUG
RNAcentral lists this ribosomal RNA (472 nucleotides) under uncultured bacterium. RNAcentral's name for it is "partial 16S ribosomal RNA". It matches the Rfam family "Bacterial small subunit ribosomal RNA", at positions 28 to 507 of the family's 1533-position model. The record is from RNAcentral.